This 433-nucleotide ribosomal RNA is filed under the name uncultured bacterium. Its description in RNAcentral is "partial 16S ribosomal RNA". It matches the Rfam family "Bacterial small subunit ribosomal RNA", at positions 29 to 507 of the family's 1533-position model. The record is from RNAcentral.
AGCGAACGCUGGCGGCAUGCCUAACACAUGCAAGUCGAACGAACUCUUCGGAGUUAGUGGCGGACGGGUGAGUAACACGUGGGAACGUGCCUUUUGGUUCGGAAUAACUCAGGGAAACUUGUGCUAAUACCGAAUAUGGCCUUCGGGGGAAAGAUUUAUCGCCAUUAGAGCGGCCCGCGUCUGAUUAGCUAGUUGGUGAGGUAACGGCUCACCAAGGCGACGAUCAGUAGCUGGUCUGAGAGGAUGACCAGCCACACUGGGACUGAGACACGGCCCAGACUCCUACGGGAGGCAGCAGUGGGGAAUCUUGCGCAAUGGGCGAAAGCCUGACGCAGCCAUGCCGCGUGAAUGAUGAAGGUCUUAGGAUUGUAAAAUUCUUUCACCGGGGACGAUAAUGACGGUACCCGGAGAAGAAGCCCCGGCUAACUUCGUG